Molecule: ribosomal RNA, 440 nt
Filed under: uncultured bacterium
Lineage: Bacteria
Description: partial 16S ribosomal RNA
Rfam family: Bacterial small subunit ribosomal RNA
Source: RNAcentral
CCUACGGGCGGCAGCAGUGGGGAAUAUUGCACAAUGGGGGAAACCCUGAUGCAGCGACGCCGCGUGAGUGACGAAGUAUCCCGGUACGUAAAGCUUUAUCUGCAGGGAAGAAAAUGACGGUUCCUGACUAAGAAGCCCCGGCUAACUACGUGCCAGCAGCCGCGGGAAUACGCAGGGGGCAAGCGUUAUCCGGAUUUUCUGGGUGUUAAGGGAGCGUAGACGGCAACACAAGUCUGGAGUGAAAGCCCGGGGCUUAACCCCGGAACUGCUUUGGAAACUGUGCGGCUGGAGUGCAGGAGGGGUAAGCGGAAUGCCUAGUGUAGCGGUGAAAUGCGUAGAUAUUAGGAGGAACACCGGUGGCGAAGGCGGCUUACUGGACUGUAACUGACGUUGAGGCACGAAAGCGUGGGUAGCGAACAGGAUUAGAUACCCCAGUAGUC